This 396-nucleotide long non-coding RNA is filed under the name Monodelphis domestica (gray short-tailed opossum). Its description in RNAcentral is "lncRNA (ENSMODG00000036568.1)". Lineage: Eukaryota; Metazoa; Chordata; Mammalia; Didelphimorphia; Didelphidae. The record is from RNAcentral.
UAAGGGGAUUUUCUCAGGGUCAUUGCAAAUCUGUUGCUAGCCUCAAGGAUCAUGCUAUCUUCGAAUUAAUGCAGAAUGACAGCAAGCUAGUUCCUCUCUGAGUUUGGAGGGGGAGGACUGACUGUCUUUAAAAUAUUGACAGUUGGUGUUUCAGAACAAAAAAGUUACCUUUUUGGGUGUUUGAAUGUAAAUUGAAUUAUGGAGCAAGGAGAGGAGAGCUUUGGUUUCAGUAGUUAUGGUGCUGUCGUUGAAAGGAGCAAUCAAUGAAUCAGAUUGAGGGGAUGCAGAGGCCCAAAUCAACUACUGCAGUAUGGCUGGCAAUCUCAGAGAGAUGACGACCUGCCAAAUUCCCGACACACAGGCGGAUGUCUGAGCCAUAAAAGAUGUGAUCUAGUA